UACGUAGGGUGCAAGCGUUGUCCGGAAUUAUUGGGCGUAAAGAGCUCGUAGGCGGUCUGUCACGUCGGAUGUGAAAACUCGGGGCUCAACCCCGAGCCUGCAUUCGAUACGGGCAGACUUGAGUUCGGCAGGGGAGACUGGAAUUCCUGGUGUAGCGGUGAAAUGCGCAGAUAUCAGGAGGAACACCGGUGGCGAAGGCGGUUCUCUGGGCAUGACCUGACGCUGAGGAGCGAAAGUGUGGGGAGCGAACAGG
Molecule: ribosomal RNA, 253 nt
Filed under: uncultured bacterium
Lineage: Bacteria
Description: partial 16S ribosomal RNA
Rfam family: Bacterial small subunit ribosomal RNA
Source: RNAcentral